Molecule: ribosomal RNA, 444 nt
Filed under: Holothuria mammata
Lineage: Eukaryota; Metazoa; Echinodermata; Holothuroidea; Aspidochirotida; Holothuriidae
Description: partial 16S ribosomal RNA
Rfam family: Bacterial large subunit ribosomal RNA
Source: RNAcentral
AAUCAUUUGUCUUUUAAAUGAAGACUUGUAUGAACGGCAAAACCUCCUCCAACUGUCUCCCCUCCCAUCCUUCCAAAUUUCCUCCUGCGUGAAGAAGCGCAGAUACACCAGAAAGACGAGAAGACCCUGUCGAGCUUUAACCACUAAGUGGGCCUUACCCUUUCAGGCACCACCCAAAGGUUUUGGUUGGGGCAACCACGGAGAAAAAACAUCCUCCAGAACGAAUAGAAGAAAGCUUUUCACUAUUAUUACGACUAAGAACCAGAAACUGGUAUUCGGAAAGAGUUACCGCAGGGAUAACAGCGUCAUCUCCUCUAAGAGUCCUUAUUGACGAGGAGGUUUGCGACCUCGAUGUUGGAUUGGGGCCCCCUUAGGGUGCAGAAGCUCUAAACGGUUAGACUGUUCGUCUAUUAAAGCCCUACAUGAUCUGAGUUCAAACCGGAG